GAGAGCAGAAUAUUUCAGAUGUCCAUCAAGAAGCCAUUUUGUGAUCCCACUUUUUCCUCAUGGUAUUCACUUGCGUUCCAUUGCUCACGAAGACAAGGAAGAAUACUCCGGUUGGAACUUUAUUGAAGCUAUAUGUUAAAAACAUCCUAAUGAUUGAUUCUGUACGUCGUUUGAAAUGUUCUUUCGACCGGUAAUAUCACUUUUUGUCCGAUAUAACGCUGACCAUAAUUAGCGUUUGGAUAUGUAUAACAAAUGCUCUAACAAAAGAAGGUAUUUGGACAUAACGGACAUUUUCGAACAUAACAAACAUUUAUUGUGGACCUGGGAUUCCUGGAGUGCUUUCUGAUGUAGAUCAUCAAAGGGGCAGUCAAGAAAUGGAACAGCAAGGCCACAGAACAUGACAUAAGCAGAGCUGUGGGAGACCAACUCAAGCCCCUGGUAUAGCCGGGGGUGGUGUUCACCACUCCAGCAGGCUGGAAAAUUGCGAUUGAUACUUUUUUUCAUACUAAGAUGGACCAAGAGUCUAUCGAUUGGCCGGUCAUUGGGUUCAUUUGACUUACAAUAUGUUCAAAUCAAGCUUUAUUAAUUCAGCACAUUUCAGACAUGGAUGCAACCCAAUGGAAACAAGAAAAGAAAAAGAAAAACCCACACCAAACUUAAAGACCGGAAGCAAACCAAAAUGGUAGCGCAACUAAAGGUGUUGACUCUCCACAUCUAUCAAGACAACUGGAGCACUGGGCCAGACACUCUUAAAUAGAACCUGGACCAGCUCAGGUGAAAUACCUUCCCACUUACAAGAUGGACAAGCCAGCACAGGUGUAACACAUACUGACUAACGGUGACACCAAUCAGUGCGGCCUAAGUGCUAACGAGCUAAAGUCCAACCUCAAAACAGAAAUGGAAAAACCAAAACCUGUAACACCUUCCCCCUUAAGACAACAAAUAUAUCCUAUAUUUGUUGGACACGUUUGCUCACCACCAACAGAAAACAACUUCCAUUUCACAUUAUAAUCAACUACAAUGCUUCACCUUCACCAAUAUAAACAUUGUCUACUGGCUGUCAACAAGAAAACACACGUAUUUCUAAAUAAUAAUAUACAAUCAUAUCUUUCCUCCUUUUUCUUUCUAUAGAAUGCUAAAACUCACUAGCUUCUAGAACUCUCAUCCCCUUGGAACAAGCACAAAACAAAACUCAUCUCCAAUACGGAAAAUCAAAACUCAAAUCAAAUUGUAUUAGUCACAUGCGCCAAAUACAACAGUGAAAUGCUUACUUACGAGCCCCUAACCAACAAUGCAGUUUCAAUACGGAAAAGAAUAAGAGAUCAAACUCAUCUCCAACACGGAAAAACGUGCCAAAAUAAAUUGCGAUCCAUGAUAACACACCGAUUAAAUGCAAAACAAAAAUAUUUUUGACUGCCAACCCUUGAGACAAUCAGAAACCAAGUUGUCCUUACCACAGACAUGUCUGAUUUCAAGAGGAAACUCCUGCGAUAUCCAUAGUAACUUUCCACCUCACCGCAGAGCUUCUCUCUCUUUUCAGGGUUCACUAGAUAGGCAUGUUGUUGGAUCGAGACCCAGUCCCCAAUGUCAUGCUCUAGUACAUUUGGGUUGGCACAUCUAUGAAUGAUCCCUGAUAUUCUAAAAGCAGGGCAACAAUCUCAAUAUAAUUGUACCCCAAAAUUGUCAGUUGGUUACAUAAAAAAUGAUGAUAUCAAAACCAAAUGUACACCCCUUUGUUAAUAUGUAUUGGCAAUAACUCACUUAAUGGUGUGGCGUGGAAUUAUAAAACAUAUCUUUUGUCUGGCUGAAUGUUUGAAAUAUGAGGUGAUUUGAGACAUGCUUCUUCAGUAGUGGAAUAAAGACAAUUAGCACUUGAAUGUUGUAAAGAAAUACUGUAGUGAAGUAGGAUUGUUAAUAAAAAUGAUUACAAAUGUA
Long non-coding RNA from Oncorhynchus nerka (sockeye salmon), 1935 nucleotides. RefSeq lists it as uncharacterized. NCBI's taxonomy places the organism in Eukaryota, Metazoa, Chordata, Actinopteri, Salmoniformes, Salmonidae. The transcript has 2 exons. The record is from RefSeq and is a predicted model, not a curated record.